This 482-nucleotide ribosomal RNA is filed under the name uncultured bacterium. RNAcentral describes it as "bacterial SSU rRNA". It matches the Rfam family "Bacterial small subunit ribosomal RNA", at positions 29 to 506 of the family's 1533-position model. The record is from RNAcentral.
UUGAACGCUGGCGGCAUGCUUUACACAUGCAAGUCGAACGGCAGCGGGGGCUUCGGCCCGCCGGCGAGUGGCGAACGGGUGAGUAAUACAUCGGAACGUGCCCGAUCGUGGGGGAUAACGCAGCGAAAGCUGUGCUAAUACCGCAUACGAUCUACGGAUGAAAGCGGGGGAUCGCAAGACCUCGCGCGGACGGAGCGGCCGAUGGCAGAUUAGGUAGUUGGUGGGAUAAAAGCUUACCAAGCCGACGAUCUGUAGCUGGUCUGAGAGGACGACCAGCCACACUGGGACUGAGACACGGCCCAGACUCCUACGGGAGGCAGCAGUGGGGAAUUUUGGACAAUGGGCGAAAGCCUGAUCCAGCCAUGCCGCGUGCAGGAUGAAGGCCUUCGGGUUGUAAACUGCUUUUGUACGGAACGAAAAAGUCUUCUCUAAUACAGGGGGCGAAUGACGGUACCGUAAGAAUAAGCACCGGCUAACUACGU